RNAcentral lists this transfer RNA (71 nucleotides) under Camelus bactrianus (Bactrian camel). It matches the Rfam family "tRNA". Rfam says of the family: Transfer RNA (tRNA) molecules are approximately 80 nucleotides in length. Their secondary structure includes four short double-helical elements and three loops (D, anti-codon, and T loops). Further hydrogen bonds mediate the characteristic L-shaped molecular structure. tRNAs have two regions of fundamental functional importance: the anti-codon, which is responsible for specific mRNA codon recognition, and the 3' end, to which the tRNAs corresponding amino acid is attached (by aminoacyl-tRNA synthetases). tRNAs cope with the degeneracy of the genetic code in two manners: having more than one tRNA (with a specific anti-codon) for a particular amino acid; and 'wobble' base-pairing, i.e. permitting non-standard base-pairing at the 3rd anti-codon position. The record is from Rfam by way of RNAcentral. Lineage: Eukaryota; Metazoa; Chordata; Mammalia; Artiodactyla; Camelidae. RNAcentral also lists the same sequence under 2 other names.
AGGGUAGAGCUCAGUGGUGGAGCACGUGUUUAGUAGACACCAGGUCCUGGGUUCAAUCCCCAGUGCCUCUA